CACAUCUGUAAAUGAAGGAAACAUUGACUCUCAAAGAACAUAUUUCAUGGGCAUGUAAAAGUAUGAAUGCUAGUGAGAAUUAAUUACUUAUGAAGUAUAAUCACCCACAUCCACUCUUGGACACAGCCCACUCUGAGGCAUCCGUUACAGAACUCAUUAUAUAGUAGGAGACAUGCAAAUAGGGUCCUCCCUCUGCUGAUGAAAACCAGCCCAGCCCUGACCCUGCAGCUCUGGGAGAGGAGCCCCAGCCCUGAGAUUCCCAGGUGUUUCCAUUCGGUGAUCAGCACUGAACACAGAGAACUCACCAUGGAGUUUGGACUGAGCUGGGUUUUCCUUGUUGCUAUUUUAAAAGGUGUCCAGUGUGAAGUGCAGCUGGUGGAGUCUGGGGGAGGCGUGGUACAGCCUGGGGGGUCCCUGAGACUCUCCUGUGCAGCCUCUGGAUUCACCUUUGAUGAUUAUGCCAUGCACUGGGUCCGUCAAGCUCCGGGGAAGGGUCUGGAGUGGGUCUCUCUUAUUAGUUGGGAUGGUGGUAGCACAUACUAUGCAGACUCUGUGAAGGGCCGAUUCACCAUCUCCAGAGACAACAGCAAAAACUCCCUGUAUCUGCAAAUGAACAGUCUGAGAGCUGAGGACACCGCCUUGUAUUACUGUGCAAAAGAUACACAGUGAGGGGAAGUCAGCGAGAGCCCAGACAAAAACCUCCCUGCAGGAAGACAGGAG
Molecule: non-coding RNA, 720 nt
Organism: Pan troglodytes (chimpanzee)
Lineage: Eukaryota; Metazoa; Chordata; Mammalia; Primates; Hominidae
Source: the annotation of a RefSeq genome assembly